This 47-nucleotide ribosomal RNA is filed under the name Collybiopsis quercophila. Its description in RNAcentral is "Gymnopus quercophilus partial 5.8S ribosomal RNA". It matches the Rfam family "5.8S ribosomal RNA", at positions 1 to 46 of the family's 154-position model. From Rfam's summary of the family: 5.8S ribosomal RNA (5.8S rRNA) is a component of the large subunit of the eukaryotic ribosome. It is transcribed by RNA polymerase I as part of the 45S precursor that also contains 18S and 28S rRNA. The record is from RNAcentral. Lineage: Eukaryota; Fungi; Basidiomycota; Agaricomycetes; Agaricales; Omphalotaceae.
CAACUUUUAGCAACUGAUCUCUUGGCUCUCGCAUCGAUGAAGAACGC